CUUUCAAAGGAAAUGAUGAAUUUAUUAGAUUAACCAACGCGGAGUAUUUAGACUGUGCAGAACUUGUGUCUGUGUGGGCUUCGGUCUCUUCUGAGAUACUUUUGGUGAUUCAAAAUAACUUAUCGAAUCGCAGAGGCGUUUACGUCGGCGAUGAUACAUACAAAUUUCUGCUCGAUUAACUGUCGAUGGUAGUGUAGUGGACUACCAUGGUGAUAAUCGAUGACGGGGGAUUAGGGUUCGAUUCCGGAGAGGUAGCCUGAGAAAUGGCUACCACUUCCAAGGAAGGCAGCAGGCGCGCAAAUUACCCAAUGCUAACUCAGCGAGGUAGUGACAAGAAAUACCAAUACAAUGCCAAUGGUGUUGUGUUUGGAAUGAGAGUAAUCUAAACAUUUACUCGAGGAACAAUUGGAGGGCAAGUCUGGUGCCAGCAGCCGCGGUAAUUCCAGCUCCAAUAGUGUAUAUUAAAGUUGUUGCAGUUAAAAAGCUCGUAGUUGGAUAUCGGUAACUAUCAUGAGUGUCUACUCUCAAUGAGUACGUACACGAAUGUAGUACCUUCUUUCUGGAUGUGAUUUUAGAUCGCUCCAGAUAUUUUACUUUGAGAAAAUUAGAGUGUUCAAAGCAGGCGUAACUUUGCCUUUGAAUAUAUUAGCAUGGGAUAAUGAAAUAAGACUUUUGCCUUAUUCUCGUUGGUUCUUUUAGGCUUAAGUAAUGAUUAAUAGGGACAGUUGGGGUUAUCUGUAUUUGAUCGCCAGAGGUGAAAUUCUAAGACUGAUCAAAGACAAACUACUGCGAAAGCAUUUAACAAGGAUGUUUUCAUUAAUCAAGAACGAAAGUUGGGGGAUCGAAGAUGAUCAGAUACCGUCGUAGUCCCAACCAUAAACUAUGUCGACCAAGGAUUCGAAAGCGUUACAUGAAUGACCUCUCGGGCACUUAUAGAAAAUCAUAAGUAUUUGGAUUCCGGGGGGAGUAUGGUCGCAAGGCUGAAACUUAAAGAAAUUGACGGAAGGGCACCACAAGGAGUGGAAUAUGCGGUUUAAUUUGACCCAACACGGGAAAACUUACCAGGUCCAGACACAAGGAGGAUUGACAGAUUGAGAGCUCUUUCUUAAUUUUGUGGGUGGUGGUGCAUGGCCGUUUCUAGUUGGUGGAGUGAUUUGUCUGGUUAAUUCCGUUAACGAACGAGACCUUAACCUAUUAAAUAGUAACACUUACUUGGAUAAUUUACUUCCAACAGUAGGUGGUUUACUUCUUAGAGGUACUCUUCACGUAAAGAGUGAAUGGAAGUUUGAGGCAAAAACAGGUCUGUGAUGCCCUUAGAUGUUCUGGGCUACACGCGUGUUACACUGGUACAUUCAACAAGUAUAAUAUUCCUUACUCUAGUGAGUCGGGUAAUCUUCUAAAUAUGUAUCGUGAUGGGGAUAGAGCAUUGUAAUUUUUGCUCUUGAACGAGGAAUUCCUAGUAAGUGCAAGUCAUUAACUUGCGCUGAUUACGUCCCUGCCCUUUGUACACAUCGCCCGUCGCUCCUACCGAUGAAUGGUCCGGUGAGGAUUCGGGAUGACCUUUGAUGCUGAUCUAAUCACAUCACUGAUUGUCAGAACCUAUUCAAACCUUAUCAUUUAAAGGAAGGAGAAGUCGUAACAAGGUU
RNAcentral lists this ribosomal RNA (1646 nucleotides) under metagenome. Its description in RNAcentral is "SSU rRNA". It matches the Rfam family "Eukaryotic small subunit ribosomal RNA", at positions 186 to 1801 of the family's 1831-position model. The record is from RNAcentral.